UGUCGGGAGAUGUAGUCCUGGAGAAGGAGGGCGGGGUGAUCGUUCCUGCUGAGUGAGUGCGGCUUGGGGCGGGCGGAGGCACCGCUCCCGGGAAGGGCCGCGAGGGGCUCGAGCUGUUGUUGAACAGGACAAACUUGGGGCUGGUGGAAUAUUGAGGUGCAGGUGACGCAGAAGUUGGGCAAAGGUGGCGAGUAUCAGUACACAGCGGCACUGAAAUACUUUAACGAACCUGAGACACCUUUAAGGUGAAAUGUUAGAAUUUGAUCUAUUUUUGAACCAAACAAGGGAUAGCUCCACCGAAGUGGAGCCUCAAAAAAUUUCUCGACACUCGUGCCUGUUCCUCUCCACGGAAAUCUUUAGUAAAAGGCGAAAGAUUUAUACGAUCUGAAGAGAAACCAGAGUAUACCUACAGGUCUCCACCCCGAUAUACCCCACGUCUACUCCACCCUCCAUAAGUCAGGGCGACCCUCGCCUCCCCCGCCGCUCCCGGCCCUGCACCCCCGGCCCGGCCCCGGGGGUCGGAGACACCGGACAGCCCCCACGGCCCGGGCGGGGCAGCGGCGGCAGCACCGGACAGCAGCAGGGCCGGACACCGGCGGGACCGCGGGGCACCCUGGGCCACCUGUAAGUAUUGGAAGGUAUGGGGAAUGAAACAGAGAGUCCAGUGGAACUGAUAAAGGAGUCUGAUUGAGCAGAAACUGUGGGAGAGACAGACACAGAUAAGUGCUCCCUGGGCAAUAAGUGACCAAGAACCACAUGAAAUUUUGUGAUAAGAUAAUGUUACCAGGUAAAGUGAUAUCAUGAAGAAUGUGUGACCAAUGGGAAAUUUUUUACCAAAAAUAGAACCCUAUAUAAGUGCCAUACAAGUAAAGCCCUAUAUAAAUGCCUUGUAUACUCAAUAAAAUUGGCUUCUGAUCUCAA
This is a long non-coding RNA of Parus major (Great Tit), 921 nucleotides long. RefSeq lists it as uncharacterized. NCBI's taxonomy places the organism in Eukaryota, Metazoa, Chordata, Aves, Passeriformes, Paridae. The transcript is spliced from 2 exons. The record is from RefSeq and is a predicted model, not a curated record.